ACAUUGUUUUAGAAUCUAGUGAGGCCCUGCAAACAAAACAAACAUUUUCUUUAGGCAAGAAUAUCUACGAAAGCAUAUGUACGGAACUUAGGUGAUUUAGGCAACUACUAUUUAUAUGUAGACAACUUAUCCUAUUGGAAAUAGCAAAUGUUGUGCAAAUUAAAUCAAUUUGCUGCUAAAAAUCCCAUUGGAUAACUCGUGCCAGCCUGUGUAGCAACUAAAUACUUCCUCUGUAGGGAAAUAUAAGAGUGUUUAGAUCACUAAAGUAGUGAUCUAAACGGUCUUAUAUUUCUUUAUGGAGGGAGUAUCAUACCUUGGGCAUGCUUUGGGCAAAAUAAAACCCAGUGCACUGGAGAGAGGAUCUUUGGGCAACUCAUGUCAACAUCUCUAGUAACUAACUAUCACGCGUUGGGCAAGUUCUUAGACACUUUCAACACAAAUCAUCGACGAUUCCAACCCCCGCAUCCCUAAGUCGCAAACCACUGCCGCACUGAAAAUCAUCGAUUCACCCAAAAACCCGGGAUCCCGCACACCCCUCUUCAACCUCCCUAUCCGGCCUCUAUCGCAUAGAAUCGUAGAUUUGAGUAGAAAAACACAUGCUUAGGGGGUCGAUUUCAAGAUAGCAAUUUUUUUAUAUUAUUAGGCAAGUUACUGUAGAAAUCAUUCAAUAGAAGAAGGCAUAUUUUCCCCCCUAGAACUCAAUGCACAAAAUGGUUAUAGAUUGUAGGGCAUUAUCCUUGUGCUGCAAAGGGACACAAAACCAUCUCCCAUAGCAUGUUAUGAAAAAAUAUUGCCUGUUAGUUUUGCCUAAGUGAACACAUAUUACAUAGCACAAGAAAUCUCAGGUAGAACAGAGAAACAACAAUGGUGGAAAAUAGACACCCUCUUCAAAAAAAAGGGACCACACACACCCUCUUCACCUAGCAGACAUUUUUCAAAUAAAAAAGACUAUGGUUGUCAUUUAGCCAACUUUGCUUUUAUCCUGCAGAAAAACAAAAAUGGUGUGGAGCUUUUCAUCCCAAAUAACAUGUCUCUUUGUCCCAGGCAACAAGUGGCCGUCGUUUAGGCAACUUGCAUCUUAUACCAGACAACUAGUGAUUCUUAUUAGGCAACUUUGCCUUUGACUGCCACAGUGGACUAGAGGCGAGGAGAUGGCAUUGAGGUUCUAAAUGAACACAUAUUAUCGAUCACAAAAAAUCUCAGAUAUAACACAGAAACAAACUAUGGUGAAAAUGGUUCAGUUCUUCGAAAAGAGAUGGCAUUUACCUCGUACAGACAAAUGAACAUGGUGUCGCUGUGCUAGCUUCCGCUUUUGGUUCCUUCGACAUCCCCCUCGUAGUGGUGAACAGGUCCCCUUGCCUCUCCCACUCGCCACAACUUGUUCGUCCAUCCCUCAUCGUCGCCCCCCGUGAAUUGGCCAACACUGAAAAAUUUAAAAGGGAUUUAAAACGGCAUCUUCCUGUCUCUCGCAAAUCACGCUUGCUAUAGAAAAAGCUUAUAGUAUGUUGAGGCAACUACCUAGUAAACCGGAAUAUUGGAUGAAGAACAUUACUAAUAACAAUAGUCUAUAAAAGCAGAGGAGUGGCUUUACUACAUGAUAACAGGAAGUUGUAAACAAACAUUAAAACACAAAUGGUAAAUCAGUUGAAGGGCUAGCACCAAAGUAAUCAAAGUACACAAAAAUCUUACAUAAUACUAGAAGUACUAGUGAAAAUUUGUUGCUUCUUCAUCGGCAAACUGCAUGUUGUGCAACCUCUGCCUACACGUUCCUUUCCUGCUGCAUCGGCUGGCCGGUAGCCAACAUCCAUUCAUGUCCUCCUCCCUCGUAAGAAGCCACCAAGUUAUUCAGAUAUCUACAACACUACUGGGCUACAAGCCUAAAGCCAACAUGACGGACGAAACUGAAGACCAAAUUGCUGCUGACCCUGUUGUACACACUCACCCAAAGGACCAGCAGGCAGGAUAUGAUUCAGCGAUGCAGCUCAGGCUUGACACGGGGUGAGCAAUCACCCUACGACGCAGGCCCCAGCAAUUCUCGAUCUAGAGCAACUGCAGCCCAGUUCAGUUGUACAAUCAAUCACAAGCCAGUAUUUUCCUGAAAAUUGCCUAAGUGGUGGUUAC
RNAcentral lists this long non-coding RNA (2121 nucleotides) under Triticum aestivum (bread wheat). RNAcentral describes it as "long non-coding RNA (TAES_LNC008167)". Lineage: Eukaryota; Viridiplantae; Streptophyta; Magnoliopsida; Poales; Poaceae. The record is from RNAcentral.